CAGUCGCCACGGUAAAACGUAGGUGGCAAGCGUUGUCCGGAAUUAUUGGGCGUAAAGGGCUCGCAGGCGGUUUCUUAAGUCUGAUGUGAAAGCCCCCGGCUCAACCGGGGAGGGUCAUUGGAAACUGGGAAACUUGAGUGCAGAAGAGGAGAGUGGAAUUCCACGUGUAGCGGUGAAAUGCGUAGAGAUGUGGAGGAACACCAGUGGCGAAGGCGACCCUCUGGUCUGUAACUGACGCUGAGGAGCGAAAGCGUGGGGAGCGAACAGGAUUAGAUACCCCCGUAGUCCCUGUCUCUUAUAC
Molecule: ribosomal RNA, 301 nt
Filed under: uncultured bacterium
Lineage: Bacteria
Description: partial 16S ribosomal RNA
Rfam family: Bacterial small subunit ribosomal RNA
Source: RNAcentral